UGAUUCCUAAAAAUAAAAUUA
This 21-nucleotide non-coding RNA is filed under the name Caenorhabditis elegans. The record is from RNAcentral. Lineage: Eukaryota; Metazoa; Nematoda; Chromadorea; Rhabditida; Rhabditidae.